Molecule: ribosomal RNA, 508 nt
Filed under: Salmonella enterica
Lineage: Bacteria; Pseudomonadati; Pseudomonadota; Gammaproteobacteria; Enterobacterales; Enterobacteriaceae
Also listed under: 1 other name
Description: partial 23S ribosomal RNA
Rfam family: Bacterial large subunit ribosomal RNA
Source: RNAcentral
AGACCCGAAACCCGGUGAUCUAGCCAUGGGCAGGUUGAAGGUUGGGUAACACUAACUGGAGGACCGAACCGACUAAUGUUGAAAAAUUAGCGGAUGACCUGUGGCUGGGGGUGAAAGGCCAAUCAAACCGGGAGAUAGCUGGUUCUCCCCGAAAGCUAUUUAGGUAGCGCCUCGUGAAUUCAUCUCCGGGGGUAGAGCACUGUUUCGGCUAGGGGGCCAUCCCGGCUUACCAACCCGAUGCAAACUGCGAAUACCGGAGAAUGUUAUCACGGGAGACACACGGCGGGUGCUAACGUCCGUCGUGAAGAGGGAAACAACCCAGACCGCCAGCUAAGGUCCCAAAGUCAUGGUUAAGUGGGAAACGAUGUGGGAAGGCCCAGACAGCCAGGAUGUUGGCUUAGAAGCAGCCAUCAUUUAAAGAAAGCGUAAUAGCUCACUGGUCGAGUCGGCCUGCGCGGAAGAUGUAACGGGGCUAAACCAUGCACCGAAGCUGCGGCAGCGACGCUUA